This 497-nucleotide ribosomal RNA is filed under the name uncultured bacterium. Its description in RNAcentral is "partial 16S ribosomal RNA". It matches the Rfam family "Bacterial small subunit ribosomal RNA", at positions 899 to 1397 of the family's 1533-position model. The record is from RNAcentral.
ACUCAAAUGAAUUGACGGGGGCCCGCACAAGCGGCGGAGCAUGUGGCUUAAUUCGAAGCAACGCGAAGAACCUUACCUGGGUUGAACUACGCCGGAAAAGCCGUAGAGAUGCGGUGUCCUUCGGGGCCGGCGAUAGGUGGUGCAUGGCUGUCGUCAGCUCGUGUCGUGAGAUGUUGGGUUAAGUCCCGCAACGAGCGCAACCCUCGUCCCAUGUUGCCAGCGGGUUAUGCCGGGCACUCGUGGGAGACUGCCGGGGUCAACUCGGAGGAAGGUGGGGAUGACGUCAAGUCAUCAUGCCCCUUAUGCCCAGGGCUGCACACAUGCUACAAUGGCCGGUACAACGGGCUGCAACCUCGCGAGAGGAAGCCAAUCCCUGAAAGCCGGUCUCAGUUCGGAUUGUAGUCUGCAACUCGACUGCAUGAAGUCGGAGUCGCUAGUAAUCCCGGAUCAGCAACGCCGGGGUGAAUACGUUCCCGGGCCUUGUACACACCGCCCGU